GCCUGGGUGGCUCAGUUGGUUGAGCAUCUGACUUUGGCUCAGGUCAUGAUCUUACAGUUUGUGGGUUCGAGCCCCGAGUCGGGCU
Molecule: transfer RNA, 85 nt
Filed under: Felis catus (domestic cat)
Lineage: Eukaryota; Metazoa; Chordata; Mammalia; Carnivora; Felidae
Rfam family: tRNA
About the family: Transfer RNA (tRNA) molecules are approximately 80 nucleotides in length. Their secondary structure includes four short double-helical elements and three loops (D, anti-codon, and T loops). Further hydrogen bonds mediate the characteristic L-shaped molecular structure. tRNAs have two regions of fundamental functional importance: the anti-codon, which is responsible for specific mRNA codon recognition, and the 3' end, to which the tRNAs corresponding amino acid is attached (by aminoacyl-tRNA synthetases). tRNAs cope with the degeneracy of the genetic code in two manners: having more than one tRNA (with a specific anti-codon) for a particular amino acid; and 'wobble' base-pairing, i.e. permitting non-standard base-pairing at the 3rd anti-codon position.
Source: Rfam by way of RNAcentral